GACGUGCCGGUAAUAAACCGGAGGAAGGUGGGGAUGACGUCAAUCAUCAUGCCCCUUAUGACCUGGGCUACACACGUGCUACAAUGGUUGGUACAACGAGUUGCGAGUCGGUGACGGCGAGCUAAUCUCUUAAAGCCAAUCUCAGUUCGGAUUGUAGGCUGCAACUCGCCUACAUGAAGUCGGAAUCGCUAGUAAUCGCGGAUCAGCACGCCGCGGUGAAUACGUUCCCGGGCCUU
RNAcentral lists this ribosomal RNA (236 nucleotides) under uncultured Streptococcus sp. Its description in RNAcentral is "partial 16S ribosomal RNA". It matches the Rfam family "Bacterial small subunit ribosomal RNA", at positions 1147 to 1382 of the family's 1533-position model. The record is from RNAcentral. Lineage: Bacteria; Bacillati; Bacillota; Bacilli; Lactobacillales; Streptococcaceae.